RNAcentral lists this transfer RNA (69 nucleotides) under Hoplodactylus sp. Open Bay Islands. RNAcentral's name for it is "tRNA-Trp". It matches the Rfam family "tRNA". From Rfam's summary of the family: Transfer RNA (tRNA) molecules are approximately 80 nucleotides in length. Their secondary structure includes four short double-helical elements and three loops (D, anti-codon, and T loops). The record is from RNAcentral. Lineage: Eukaryota; Metazoa; Chordata; Lepidosauria; Squamata; Diplodactylidae.
AGAAACUUAGGUUAAAUUAAACCGAAGACCUUCAAAGUCCAAAAUAAGAGAUAAAUCUCCUAGUUUCUG